CAGUACACUCUGUACAUUGCAAUGGAAGCACAGGAAACAUGCAGAAAAUUAGGCUCCGGUGGUGCCUCGUUCUCCUGCAAAACUUUCCCAUGCAGUCUGAAGAGGUUGAAAGAUUGAAAAAGGUGGCGAAAACAAAACACACUACAGG
Oncorhynchus masou masou (cherry salmon) is the source of this 148-nucleotide long non-coding RNA. RefSeq lists it as uncharacterized. Lineage: Eukaryota; Metazoa; Chordata; Actinopteri; Salmoniformes; Salmonidae. The transcript is spliced from 3 exons. The record is from RefSeq and is a predicted model, not a curated record.